UGGGGAAUAUUGCACAAUGGGCGAAAGCCUGAUGCAGCGACGCCGCGUGAGGGAUGACGGCCUUCGGGUUGUAAACCUCUUUCAGUAGGGACGAAGCGCAAGUGACGGUACCUACAGAAGAAGCACCGGCCAACUACGUGCCAGCAGCCGCGGUAAUACGUAGGGUGCGAGCGUUGUCCGGAUUUACUGGGCGUAAAGAGCUCGUAGGCGGUUUGUCACGUCGUCUGUGAAAACCCGAGGCUUAACCUCGGGCCUGCAGGCGAUACGGGCAGACUUGAGUACUGUAGGGGAGACUGGAAUUCCGGGUGUAGCGGUGGAAUGCGCAGAUAUCAGGAGGAACACCGGUGGCGAAGGCGGGUCUCUGGGCAGUAACUGACGCUGAGGAGCGAAAGCGUGGGUAGCGAACAGG
Molecule: ribosomal RNA, 409 nt
Filed under: Acidobacteriota bacterium
Lineage: Bacteria; Pseudomonadati; Acidobacteriota
Description: Acidobacteria bacterium partial 16S ribosomal RNA
Rfam family: Bacterial small subunit ribosomal RNA
Source: RNAcentral